RNAcentral lists this transfer-messenger RNA (343 nucleotides) under Sphingomonas sp. KRR8. It matches the Rfam family "Alphaproteobacteria transfer-messenger RNA". From Rfam's summary of the family: Bacterial tmRNA, also known as 10Sa RNA or SsrA, is named for its dual tRNA and mRNA-like properties. Lineage: Bacteria; Pseudomonadati; Pseudomonadota; Alphaproteobacteria; Sphingomonadales; Sphingomonadaceae. The record is from RNAcentral.
GUGCUUGAGAAGCGGGCGCCAAAGGCCUACAUAUGAGGGGCCGGGCAACCGGCUAUGCUGGUAGAUCGCCUUCUGGAAUAGGCACUUCGGACCCGGGGGGCAGUACCCCGGCGCCUCCACCACCAGCGACGGGAAACGUCGUUGCUGAUGGGGGCGAAACAGGAUCGACGGGUGCAAUAAAGAUUGGGCUGCCAGUCGGCGUGAGCGAGCCGUAAAACCGUUCUUCACACAAGUGCCAACGAUAACGAGGCUCUUGCGAUUGCCGCGUAACAAGGUCUCAACGGACUAAGUUACAAGGACAAAAGCGCGGUUGGACCCCACCGGGCAACAGAAGGGGAUUCCA